This 73-nucleotide transfer RNA is filed under the name Ectopseudomonas oleovorans. RNAcentral describes it as "Pseudomonas oleovorans tRNA-Lys". It matches the Rfam family "tRNA". Rfam says of the family: Transfer RNA (tRNA) molecules are approximately 80 nucleotides in length. Their secondary structure includes four short double-helical elements and three loops (D, anti-codon, and T loops). Lineage: Bacteria; Pseudomonadati; Pseudomonadota; Gammaproteobacteria; Pseudomonadales; Pseudomonadaceae. RNAcentral also lists the same sequence under 3 other names. The record is from RNAcentral.
GGGUCGUUAGCUCAGUCGGUAGAGCAGUUGGCUUUUAACCAAUUGGUCGUAGGUUCGAAUCCCACACGACCCA